Molecule: ribosomal RNA, 349 nt
Filed under: uncultured bacterium
Lineage: Bacteria
Description: partial 16S ribosomal RNA
Rfam family: Bacterial small subunit ribosomal RNA
Source: RNAcentral
CCUACGGGGUGCAGCAGUGGGGAAUAUUGCACAAUGGGCGAAAGCCUGAUGCAGCAACGCCGCGGGAAGGAAGAAGGGGUUCGGCUCGUAAACGUCUAGUAACAGGGACGAAAGAAAUGACGGUACCUGAAUAAGAAGCACCGGCUAACGACGUGCCAGCAGCCGCGGUAAUACGUAGGGGGCAAGCGUUAACCGGAAUUACUGGGUGUAAAGGGGGAGUAGGCGGCAUGGUAAGCCAGAUGGGAAAGCCUUGGGCUUAACCCGAGGAGUGCAUUUGGAACUAUCAAGCUAGAGGACAGGAGAGGCAAGCGGAAUUCCUAGUGUAGCUGUGACCUGCGUAGAUCUUAGG